Mustela lutreola (European mink) is the source of this 3737-nucleotide long non-coding RNA. RefSeq lists it as uncharacterized. The transcript has 4 exons. The record is from RefSeq and is a predicted model, not a curated record. Lineage: Eukaryota; Metazoa; Chordata; Mammalia; Carnivora; Mustelidae.
CUGGAGGUCAGCCCUGCUCUGUCAGGGGGCAGGCGGGAGGUGGCAGGAAGAAACAGGCUCCGUGGAGGUCCGGGACCUGACUGAGGUCGGGCUUUGCUCCGUCAGCUGUUUCAGCUGCCACCUCAGUGAGGGAUUUAUAAAUAUUUGUUGCUCUUCCCCCGACCCCAGGCACACCAUGUGCUCGCUCCCUGGGAAGCAAGAUUGUUUGGCCAUUUCACAGAGAGGGAGCCUGAGGCCCUGGGGACCGGAGACUCAGUCAUGAGGGAAGGUCUGAGGAGGAGCAGGACUACAGUGAAGACCUCUGGCUUUUUCCAUUCUCCGUAUGAAGCCUCUGAAGGCAAAACCAAGUGAGCCUCCAGUAUCUUCUGCUGACAAAACACAUCAUCAAGCCAGCUGGCACAGGAGAAAUAUCAUCUUCAGAGUCCAGUUCCAGAAUCACCAAGCAGAGCAAAACAAUCACGAAGGUAGUAAAUUUACAACUGGAAUGAAAGUGAACAGCACCGGGUCUCGCCUUGACAUCCUCCCCUCUCCACCCCCGCCGCCCCCAAAAGAGGGGUCGUGCCCAGGCACUGGAUAGACUCCGGUGUGGAUUUCCAGAAUCCCUUUUGGACACAUGUCUGCCUGUUCCUAUUUGACAAAGCUCCGCUUUCCAGAGAUUAAUUGUUGUCAAACGCAACUUAUUUUCUAAUCCUUUCAGGCUCCGCUUAAAACCUUCUGCUUUAUUUUAUUUCUUUUGAUAAAGUCGCUGAGAUUUUUUUUCCUUUUUUUUUUAUAUGGAUUUGCCAAUGAUUGUCCAGUUUGACAAAUUGGAUUCCUAAAGCUGAUUCUUUGAAGAAAAGGAUGCAGUGUGACAAGACAAGAAACAGCUCAUCCUCAAAUCGGGAGGAUAAAUAAAAAAAUAGAAGCAACCCCAUUCUCUGGCUUCCCUGCGACUCAAAGGGUGUCUCAGUUGUCACUGAUAAUCUAAUCUUCCGAUGAUAGGUGAGAAACAGGACAAUGGCGACCUAGCCAGGCUGCGGGUGUGAUAGGCCUCUGAUUAAUAGGACUGUCCAAGAAGGCCCCAGCCCCCGGGAAGAUGAUUAAUGACAUUUGAUGUGAACUCUGACCUCCCCCGGCAAGCACAGAGGGAGAAAAGUCUGCUGCUCAGACAGGAUGUGCGUCCCGCAGAAGGUGAUUGAUUCCUGAAGGCUUUGUGACUCUGAGAGUGCGUGGGGAGCCCCUCGUGGCCCCUUCCUUGGCUCUGACAAACACCCGACCCUGGCAGGGGUCUGCAGACUGGAAGGAAAUUGGUGAGGAAACCACAGCCCUGGAUGAUAACUCUUCUUCGGGGAGGAGCACAUUCAGAGCACGUGCACAUCGGGUUGUCCCAGCUGAGGACUCUCCGAAGGUUCCAGAGGUCUGGGGUCUUCUACAGACAGAGUGCUCGUUCUCCCUCAACCUUGCUGAGGCUCUUGUGGGAGCGGCCCUCCCUGGCCGGUUCCGGGGAGCAACGAACCGAAAGCUCCUUAAAAAGCACCAGGGAGAUUGAGAGAUUGCCAUUCCUUCUUAACUGUUGCUACUUUGCUUUCACAGUUCGGGUUAUGACCUCCACCAUUCCCUCUGGAGGACAGAGAGAAAGGGGCAGAGUCUCCAAAUCAGAGAGAAAGAGGCACAAAUAGAAAAAGACACUUUAAAAAAUGACAGAAACUAGAAGACAGACCCACAUUAUUUCUUUCAGUGAUUCAAAAAAAGUACUCAUGGAGAACCUACUAUGUGCAGGACUGCACACCAACCCUUAAUGGACACAUCACAAGACGGAAGCCCGUCCACACCAGCUCCACAGACCCUCCGCGGGAUUUUGGGCAAGAGAAUAAAGAGCAUGCUAUUCCCUCUCAGGCCAGUAGGUGGCGCCAUGUCAGAGGGAAAGUUAGGGUAGUCGCUGGAUUUGAUAGCCACCUAUGGACAUAAAUUCAAUUUCAUCUAGUUCUCUGAGUGCCAUUAUGUGCAGGGCAACAGGCAGGACACUCGAGGGUACAUAGGAUGAGAAAUGCAGGGAGCCUGGUGGCUCAGUUAAGCGACUGCCUUUAGCUCAUUUUGUGAUUCUGGUCUUCUAGGAUUGAGCCCCAUCUGGCUCCUUGCUCAGCGGGGAGUCUGCUUCUCCCUCUCUCUCUCUGCCUGCUACUCCACCUGCUUGUGUUUCUCCCUCUCUGUCAAAUAAAUAAAUAAAAAUUCUUGAAAAAAAAAAAAAAAGGAUGAGAAAUGUACGCUCGCUGUCAUCAUGGAGUUUAUUGUGCUCUUGGGGACCAGAAGCAUAAGCUCCCAGGUCGCAAAAAAGGUGAAAGGGGCAAGUGCCUCAGGAAUGGUUCAAAGGAAAGUCUGCAUGGAUCUUAGGACCAGAGACUGCAGAGAAGCCAUCUCCUACCUGCUCACAUUGUAUCAGAGGGAUCAGAGAAGGGAGGUAGGUGACUGACCCGUGGUCCCACAGCAAUUUCAGACUCCCAAUCUGCUGACUCCCACAACAGUGCUCUUUUCACCAAACAUUCUGCCUCAGUAACUGGGGCUGCUGCCCCACCUUGAGAUUUAAAAUACUGCCUUAGUUUUGCCAUUACCUCUCAAAAUGCCCCCUUUCUGAUGCCUCCUGCAGGGCACUCCAGCUAGGUCAGUCCUCGUCUCAGGGACGGCUGCUGUCCUCAUUAAACAUCCUGUGGUGCUGGGGUCCCCUUGCACCACUCACGAGAGCUGACUGUGUGCACCUCUACCUGGAGGUGCUCAAAAACGGCCGUGGUGGGAACAGUCACACCAUGGAAAUUGGCAAUAGCUAUAAAUCAGAACCUUCCCCUUGCCCCCCACCUCUGCCCACCACCCAGGGAGCUGCACACUACUGAAUUAGCAUCCCUGCUUUAUAGAGGAGGUGAGGUCGUCUGCCAAAGACACACAGCUUAUAGGUGGUGGAGCUGAGACCCCUCCCGGGCAAUUUGUCCUGGGGUGCUUAGCUUAGGGCAAAACCAGGAGAACCCAGAGCCCUUGGAUGCUUGGAUGCAGAGGUCUAGGCUAAUCCUUGGUUUCUUGUGUGGGUGCUACCCAUGGUCGCAUCAUUAACGUGAUGUUAAUAUUGGAACAAGAAGCAGUUUGGGUAAAAUGGAACUAGUCCAGCUUCGGAUAGACUGGAUUUGAGGCACAGUGUUGGAGAUGCUCACACGUUGAGGCUAGGAGAGAGAAGUUGGUGCAGGACACUGAGACAGGCAGGAUAGAGGUCUGUUCUUGACUCAACUGACAAAAGCUAGCUAGAAACAUUUUCCUUUCUUAGGGUACUCAGGUAAGAAGUGCGAGAUUCACCCUUUGUACGUUUCUCAUCUGUGUUGACACUGAGGCAUGACCCAGCAGGACAGGAGAGGGGCGCUGGGCACUUGCUCCACUUGCUCCCCAGUCAAGGUGCAGAGUGAGCACUCGGUAAUUGCUGAAUAAAUGAGGGAAUAACCUGAUUUCACCCCACACAAAGCCGACUCAGCACUGCUGUGGACCACACAUUAAAACCUAAGUAUAUGCCUCGUAACUUCUAAGAUGAUCUAGAAUGCUAGCAUUGUUAUAAGAGUAUGGAUGUGGGGGGCACCUGGGUGGCUCAGUCGGUUAAGUCGGUUAAGCCAAGACCUUUGGCUCAGGUCACGAUCCCAGGGUCCUGGGAUAGAGUCCUAUGUCAGCCUCCUUGCUUGACGGGGAGUCUGCUUCUCUCUCUGCCUGCCGCUGCCCCUGCUUGUGCU